Molecule: ribosomal RNA, 254 nt
Filed under: uncultured Stenotrophomonas sp.
Lineage: Bacteria; Pseudomonadati; Pseudomonadota; Gammaproteobacteria; Lysobacterales; Lysobacteraceae
Description: partial 16S ribosomal RNA
Rfam family: Bacterial small subunit ribosomal RNA
Source: RNAcentral
CGGACGGGUGAGGAAUACAUCGGAAUCUACUCUGUCGUGGGGGAUAACGUAGGGAAACUUACGCUAAUACCGCAUACGACCUACGGGUGAAAGCAGGGGAUCUUCGGACCUUGCGCGAUUGAAUGAGCCGAUGUCGGAUUAGCUAGUUGGCGGGGUAAAGGCCCACCAAGGCGACGAUCCGUAGCUGGUCUGAGAGGAUGAUCAGCCACACUGGAACUGAGACACGGUCCAGACUCCUACGGGAGGCAGCAGUC